AGGACGAACGCUGGCGGCGUGCCUAAUACAUGCAAGUCGAACGGUCUUUCUAUGGAAGCUUGCUUCCACUGAGAAGAUAGUGGCGAACGGGUGAGUAACACGUGGGUAACCUGCCCAUAAGAGGGGGGAUAACAUCCGGAAACGGGUGCUAAUACCGCAUAGUUUUCUUGAUCGCAUGAUUGAGAAAGGAAAGACGGCCUUUGUGCUGUCGCUUAUGGAUGGACCCGCGGCGUAUUAGUUAGUUGGUGAGGUAACGGCUCACCAAGACGAUGAUACGUAGCCGACCUGAGAGGGUGAUCGGCCACAUUGGGACUGAGACACGGCCCAAACUCCUACGGGAGGCAGCAGUAGGGAAUCUUCCGCAAUGGACGAAAGUCUGACGGAGCAACGCCGCGUGAGUGAAGAAAAGGUUUUCGGAUCGUAAAACUCUGUUGUCAGAGAAGAACAAGUUGGAGAGUAACUGCUCCAGCCUUGACGGUAUCUGACCAGAAAGCCACGGCUAACUACGUGCCAGCCGCUGC
This 521-nucleotide ribosomal RNA is filed under the name uncultured bacterium. Its description in RNAcentral is "bacterial SSU rRNA". It matches the Rfam family "Bacterial small subunit ribosomal RNA", at positions 26 to 518 of the family's 1533-position model. The record is from RNAcentral.